CGCAACGUUGUAAACCAAAUUCGUGAAGCGUUCCAUAUUU
This 40-nucleotide small nuclear RNA is filed under the name Cervus elaphus hippelaphus. The record is from RNAcentral. Lineage: Eukaryota; Metazoa; Chordata; Mammalia; Artiodactyla; Cervidae.